Equus asinus (donkey) is the source of this 2605-nucleotide long non-coding RNA. NCBI's taxonomy places the organism in Eukaryota, Metazoa, Chordata, Mammalia, Perissodactyla, Equidae. The record is from Ensembl.
GUGGGUACUGGGGGCUUAACUGAGUCACGUGCUCAAAGGCUUUAAGCAAAUGCUUCACAAAUGUGGGCUCGGGUGUUCUCUGAAGCCUCUGACCGACCUGGGAAGCGGCUCGCCGAGGCCCUGGGCACCGGGCCUCUGUGCUCCUGAACCAGCCCUCCCGCUGACGCCUGGACAGGGCGAGUGCUCCGUCCAUAGGGACCAGCCCCGAUUGUCCGCGUGAGUUUAUCUUCCAGCAACACGCGGCUUCCUGGGAAUUUGGAGUGACCAGCGUGGGGCCCCAAAGCCCCAUAUCAUUCCUUUCAACAUUAAAAGCCAUAAGGGAUGCUUUCAACUGCAGGUUCCCCAUUGACCUGAUUGUGAGGGGUUUGGCUCCAUGGCAACAGACGGUAUCGGCCCAUUUUCAGGGCUUAGAUGCCGUGAGGAGGAGGCCCUGCUGUCCCCUCCAGGGAGGCCUGCGUGGGGCCGGUGAUGGGUGAAUGGUGGUGACGUCGGGCUCAGGGAGCCUGGGAGAGGCACAGCAGGGAGAGGAGGCAAGGGCAGGGCUCCCAGCGGGCUCCACGCUGCUGGGGCCUGGGCUUCAGUUCCACUAUGGCCUUUCUCACAUUUCGUGUUCCCGGGUGAUGCUGAGGCUGCUGUUCUGGGGACCCCACUUGAAGAACCACUGUCGUACUAAACCAGGGCUGCGCUGCAGGAGCCUCGGGGAGGAAGCGGCCAGGAAGGGGCCUUCUCCAUCGGAGGUUCCAAGGAAGUUCCUCCAAGACCCCGGCCAGGAUGCCCAAGGUGCAGCGUUACAACAUCGUGCCCAGAUGAGAGGUCCACUCUGACGAAACAGACAAUGAGAUGCCGCUGACGGGCUCCAGGUUCCACGCAGCCGCCAAACUUUAAGAAACUCCCACCUGGCGAGUCUUGACCUAGAACCCGAGAAGAAUGUCCGCAACCCUCUGGAAGGCUGUGAAAACGCUCCUCUCUUUUCUGACUACAUACCUGUGUGAGGCUGGAUAUCUUCUGUGUCCUCCCACCAAGGUGCGUUACGACAGAUCGGCUGCAGAGGCAGGUAUGAGAGUCCAGCUGACUCCUAGCAAACCAGAUGUCCAAGAGAUUCAUAAAAACGUAAAACAAUGCCACUCUUAUUAGGUACUUUUAUUUCAUAAUUUUAUUAUGAGACAUUUUAUUUAUAAUAAAUCAUAGUUUUCUUUAUUUUUAUUUAUGUUUGUAUUAUUUAUAACAUUGUAUUUAUAAAAGUAUUUUAUUCAUAUUAACACGUAAGACGGGCCUAUGAUUAUAAUUAUUAAAUGAAUUAAUAUUUUAAAAAUUUCUCAGUUUUCAUUUCUGAUAAGGUAUUUAUUGACACCUCUGACUGACUUAAAAAGUCUUUAGGGUCCUCAGUAAAGAGUGUAAAAAAGUCUUGAGCCCCCAAAUUUGAGAACCACUAUUUCUGGUUUUCGUGGUUGAUUAUCAUUAUUAUUGUCCUGACUCACUUAUGUUAUCUAUCAAAUAAAGUAAAAAACAAAAGCGAUCAAGAAAAAAUGAAGCAUGAUUUUUAAUUCUGUCAAGUGACAGCCGGUAACAGGAAUCAAUCAAGAAAUUCUUAACACCCUGUUGAGUGCGGGAGACGCCACCGCCAGGGAGCUCCGAGGAUUUCACGGGCUUAAUAAAAUGUCCCUAAAAUGACAAGUUAGGGAUGUUUUCAAAAUGAACUGCGUGGAACAGUUUGAGCGGGCAGCUGUGAGUUGUGGUUCAGUCCUUCUCUCCGUAUCUUUGUGAGAAAACUCCGGCUUUGACAGGCGGCCUCCGGGAGCCCAGGUCAGAUCCCAGGAGCUGGGGAUGCAGGUCUCCCCCUCACCACCAGAGGGAGCAUUGGUGCAGGGCUGGAGCAAACGCAGCCGAUCUGACAGCAGUGCUGUGUGACACACAGGCUAUAACCCGAUGCAGCUGUUUGAAAAUGGGUGUCUUUCUUAAGCCGGUCUCCUUGGGACGGCAAUGCACUCGUUCAGACUAGAGUGUCACCGCGGGGUCUGCCUCCUACCUCCCCCAGAGGACCCCCCGGAGCAUCGACGUACCAGGAGGGAAGAGCGGAGGGUGGGAGGACAGUGGAAAUCGAAAUGACCCUGCAGCCAACCACUCCGCUGACCUCGGGCUGGCUCCUUAGCGUCUGUGAAAGUCGGGCUCGUCUGUAAAACGGGAAGGGUGACGCUGCCAUCCCAGGACUGCUGUGAGGAUCCAGUGAGAUAAUGUCUGUGCAGAGUCUUCCAUGAGUCAUUGAGAGCGACGUGGGCUUUUUAAUGAAACCAAACGAAUGAAGCGUUGAUGGUGGAAGUGCCGGGCUGGUGACGUGUCUGCGUGUGCACAGUAGGGGGUUCCACCUCCACCACCCCCAACCCCACGGGAAGCCCAGGGGCUCGGGAGAUCCACCUGGGGUCUCACGUCCUGGAACAGUAAGAACCACAGAGCGACGAGGCCGCCCUCGGCUUAUCCAGGCCUCCGAGCAAGGCUGUGGGACAAAUGGGGUCAAUUAUUGUUCCUCGAGGAGUCACCGUGACACGGAGUUAGCAGACACUGACCCACUGGUCCUGGGAAAACAGGGUUAGGGCCCCUCGAACCUCUG